RNAcentral lists this unclassified non-coding RNA (2513 nucleotides) under Hevea brasiliensis (rubber tree). Lineage: Eukaryota; Viridiplantae; Streptophyta; Magnoliopsida; Malpighiales; Euphorbiaceae. The record is from RNAcentral.
GAAAAAUCAAAACCUAACUAAAAUAAUAAAAUCAAUUUGACUCGGCUCAAAUUGAUUCAAUACAAUUUUCUUUUAUUCGGUUGAUGACCCCAUAACCGUCCAAACCUCUACCAUCUAUAACAACUACUCCCUAUGCACCAGAUUGUUAUAAAGCAAACCUUUCCGUAACAAUGGCCAAUGCCAACGGCACAAAUCUGAGAAAAUCAACUGCUUGCAUUAGCAUGCUUUGGUUUUGCUUUUCUUGGCUCUUGUUAUCACAAACUUCCACUUCCCUAGACACUCUCUCUCCAGGUCAAUCCAUCAAAGAUGGCGAGACUCUGGUCUCAAAAGGUGGAAUAUUCGAACUGGGAUUUCACAGACUAGGAAAUUCAAAUAAACGUUAUUUGGCAAUAUGGUACAAGGAAGCCACGGCCUUUUCAGUUGUUUGGGUUGCCAAUAGAGAAACCCCACUUCUUGAUUCUUCAGGAGUUCUGAGUUUCUCUAAGAAAGGACUUCUGGUCCUGCUCAAUGGAAAAAAUAGUACAGUUUGGUCAUCCAAUAAAACAACACCUGCACAGAGUCUGCUUAUGCAGCUCUUGGACACGGGAAAUCUUGUAGUAAAUGAUACCCAGUCGGUUAACUAUCUGUGGCAGAGUUUCGAUUCUCCUUGUGACACAUUACUCCCAGGAAUGAGAAUUGGACGAAAUUUCUCAACUCGUCAGGACAGAUUUCUAACAUCCUGGAAGAGCGCAAACGAUCCUGCUCCAGGUCAAUUUUCGCUGUGGAUAGAUCCUCGUGGGUUCCCGCAGCUUGUUCUUAGGAAUGGAACUGCUAUGCAUUAUAGACUUGGGUCGUGGAAUGGCCUUCGUUUCACGGGAACUCCUCAAUUGCCUGCACAAAUAGAAUUGUUCGAGUAUGAGUUUGAAUUGAACAACAACGGGGUGUAUUAUGAGUAUGAGGUCAAGGGAAACUUGAUGUCGAGGUUAUUUGUGAAUCGAUCAGGUUUCGUGGAGCGUUUUGCACGAGAAAACCAAUCAAAUGGUUGGAGAAAUUUAUAUUCAGCACCACUAGAUCAGUGCGACAAGUAUUCACUUUGUGGUGCACAUAUGAAAUGCGAUAUCAUAGGUGACCUGCCAAAUUGUGUUUGCCUGGAAGGCUUUGUAUCGAAAUCUCCUAAAAAUUGGAGUGCUGGAUGUGUUAGAAAGACCCCAUUAGAUUGCAAAGCUGGAGAUAUCUUUCGGAGUUAUACAGGGUUGAAGUUGCCGGACACAUCUGGUUCUUGGUACAAUAUGACCAUGAGCCUUGCAGAAUGCAAGGAAAUGUGCACAAGAAAUUGCAAUUGCACAGCGUAUGCAAAUUCAAACAUCAAGGGCAGCGGCUGCUUGCUAUGGUUUGGAGAACUGGCUGACAUGAGAGAGUAUAAUGACGGAGGGCAAAACAUUUACAUAAGGAUGUCCUCUUCAAAACCAGGUAUUAUCUUCAGAUUUUUCAUCAAAACAGUAUUGGUUGGUGCUUUCUUGAGCAGGAAACUAUUUCUCUAUAUUCAUUAUUUCCUCUUACCAUAUAAUCUAUCUAUUUUGAGGAGAAAAAAAAAAAAAAAGGAGAUGAGACUAGGGUGAGAGGAAAGAUAUUGGAAAAUGGUAGGGGCAGUAGAAGCUUUGCAGGAGUCUAUUGAUUGCUGACAUACUUGUUAUCUUUCAGAUCAAGCUAAGAAGAAGCAGAUAGGUAUCAUCGUCACGUCUGCGAUACUUGUGGGAAUGCUUGUGGUGGGAAUUAUAGUUUGCAUACAAAGGAGGAAAAAGAGCAUGCAAGGUAUCCAACUCUGAACAAUUCUUUCAAUUUAAUUACAUUCUUGAUAGAAUAUUCCACAGAAAUAAAUGAAAAAUUAUCUAUUUGCUGCUUAAUUGGCUUUGAAAUAAAGAAUAUAUUCAAUUAUCAAUACUUAUAAAUAUAAUGUUCCUACUACUUCAGGAAUGGCAAAUGACAUUCACAUGAAUGAUAACGAAAACAAUGAGGGAACGGAAGACAUGGAAUUGCUAACAUUUGACAUAACCACCAUAACAAAAGCCACAAAUAAUUUUUCAAGAGACAACAAGUUGGGGCAAGGUGGUUUUGGACCUGUAUACAAGGGAACAUUGCCUGGUGGGCAAGAAAUAGCAGUGAAAAGGCUUUCAAAAAAUUCUGGACAAGGGCAAACAGAGUUCAAAACUGAAGUUAUCUUGAUCUCCAAACUUCAGCACAGAAAUCUUGUUAGACUUCUUGGAUGUUGCUUUCAGAAAGAUGAAAAAAUGUUGAUCUAUGAGUUUAUGCCCAACAAGAGCUUAGAUUUUUUUAUUUUUGAUCAAAUGAGAAGCAAUUAUCUUGACUGGCCUAAGCGUGUCCACAUUAUUGGAGGAAUUGCUAAAGGGCUUCUCUAUCUUCAUCAGGACUCAAGACUAAGAAUUAUCCAUAGAGAUCUCAAGGCAAGCAAUGUGUUAUUAGAUAAGGACAUGAAUCCCAAAAUUUCAGACUUUGGUAUGGCUAGAAUUUUUGGA